Molecule: small nucleolar RNA, 216 nt
Organism: Ornithodoros turicata
Lineage: Eukaryota; Metazoa; Arthropoda; Arachnida; Ixodida; Argasidae
Product: small nucleolar RNA U3
Exons: 1
Source: RefSeq, a predicted model, not a curated record
AAGGUCACACUUCAUAGGAUCAUUUCUAUAGUAUGAUUGUUGAGUUUCUUUCGCAAACUCGAAAUGGCUACAACGGUGAUGAGGAGCCGUAGGGUUUCUACCUGAGCGCGAAAAGGGCAGAAAGCAUUACCUUCUUUUGGGUGCGCUGCUGCUAUUGAUGAACGUUCUUCUGGGACUGUGGUGUAGGAUGUAAUGUAGAACCCCAUUCUGAGCGGU